This 5759-nucleotide long non-coding RNA is filed under the name Manihot esculenta (cassava). RNAcentral's name for it is "long non-coding RNA (MESC_LNC009896)". The record is from RNAcentral. Lineage: Eukaryota; Viridiplantae; Streptophyta; Magnoliopsida; Malpighiales; Euphorbiaceae.
AAUUUUACAAACUUAGCAUGGAUCUGACUAAGUUUAAAAUCAGAUUUAUUUUAUCUGAAAUUAGAGUCGAUUAGAAUUGACAUCUUUAAAACUAACUUUUGAAUGAUAAAGAUAAAUUAACAAUUUAAUUUAAUAAUAAUAAUAAUACUUUUAGCUUAAAUUAUAUUAUAUAAAUUUUAUUAAAAAUUAUUAUAAAAGAAUAUUUUAUUAUAUUAUAAAUAAUAAUAUAAAAAUUAUAAAAAUAUAUUUAUAAUAAUAUAUAUUUUAUUGUAUUAUAAUAAAAAUGUAUUUUCAUUAUAAAUGUUUAUUAUUGUUAAAUUUGGGCCAGACCUAACUCACCUCAAAAGUUAGCUCAAGGGGGAGGACUACCUAUGGCUCAUAUAUGGCUCAUAUAAGAAGCACAUUACCCCUUUCCACAACUGAUGUGGGAUUCAACACCCCCUCACGCGCAGAUUUUUACUGGUGCAUGACACAUUUAUGGGAGGCCUAACAUCGGAUGGGGAGACUGAUACCAUGUUAAAUUUGGGUCAGUCCUAACUCACCUCAAAAGCUAACUCAAGAGGGAGGACUACCUAUGGCUCAUAUAAGGGGCACAUUAUCCCUUUCUACAACCGAUGUGGGAUUCAACAAUUAUAUAAUAAAUUUAAAUCGCCAGCGGUAAGGCAAAGAUGGUGAGAUUAUUCUCUGCCAGCUUUACAAAUUAUUUGUUAGUGUGACCAUAAUCUGUACAUAAUUAGAAGAGAUUGCAAAAUCAUAGGGUAAUUGAUAUUAAUUGAUCGAUAGAGGAUUAUUAAGCGUUGUCUUAACAAGACUUUGUAAUAUUUAUAUAAACACCCCUAUUCACUAGAGAAGGCACACAAUUCUUCUACCAAUUUAUUCUAAUACAUGCUAUUUGAACAAUUGGGUUUAAGUAUCCUCUUGGAUUGAGUUUCUCGGCAGAGAGAAAUUAUUUGGUUGCGUCAUCGGAAUCCAGUGCCCGUUUGGUCUCACCUCCAGCUUCCCAAGGAGCACAUGAGUGUUUUUGGCUAGUCCCAAAAGAUCGGCAUCCAUCCUGUCGGCGAGUGGCUCUCAUGCUCCAUUUGAAGCUUCAGACUUUUUUGUCAUGCGCCGACGCGUGGAGGAGAUGGGCACAUCCAGCAAGCUUUCAAUUCUUGAUCUGAGGUCGCCCCGAGGUUCCAGCUAGUCUCCGGCAUCAAAUUUGUCAUCGUGCAUUGCUGCAGUGGGGUGUCUUUUUUGUUGUGACUGAGCAAGUUCUGUUAGUCUUCUUAAUCUGUGCUUAAUUCUGUUAAAGGUUGGGUGCACUAUUUUAAGGCCUAUUUUUGUGUCUUGGAUCAUUAGGAGAAGCUUUGUGUGGAGUGAAAAUUUUUUUUUGGUGUUAAGUAUUGAUUGAAAUGGCUUCUAAUAGUAAGACCUAUGUGAUUGAGAUUAUUUCUGCACCCACUAAAAUUACUAAACAUAAGUUGAAAAGGCCUAAUUAUUUGGAGUGGAGUUAGAAAAUUAGAACUUAUUUACGAAGUAUUGAAAAAGACGACCAUUUAACUGAAGAUCCUCCCACUGAUAAUAUUAGACAAGCUUGGCUUAGGGAUGAUGCCCAUUUAUUCUUGCAAAUUACGAAUUCAAUUGACAGUAAUGUGGUUGGUUAGUUAAUCAUUGUGAACUAGUGAAAGAACAAAUGGGCUAUUUGGAAUUUUUGUAUUCUGGCAAAGGGAAUCAUCCUGAAUUUAUGAUGUGUGUUGGUCAUUCUAUUAUGCUGAUACAGGGAGCAAAUCACUUACCACUCACUUUAUAGAAUUUAAGAAACUAUAUAAGGAGUUGACUGUUUUGUUGCCCUUUAGUGCUAAUAUUAAGAAAUAACAAACUCAGAGAGAACAAAUGGCAGUUAUGAGUUUUUUUGCCAGUCUUCCUCCAUAAUAUGAGACUGCCAAAUCUCAGAUUCUGUCUAGUUCUGAGCUUUAUUCUCUUCAGGAAAUCUUUAGCAAACUAUUCGAGUGGAAAAUCUCCUCGCUCAACAGCCUAAUGCUUUAGUGGUCAAAGGCGCAAGAGGGAGUGAUGCGUGUAAAAAACCAACCUAUAAGAGUGGAGAUUCAAGUGAUAUUGUUUGUUACUACUGUAAGAACCUAGCCACGUGAAGAGAAAUUGUAAGAAAUUACAAAACAAGAAUAGCAGGACUGCUAAUGUUGUUGCAAUCAACUCUUCUUCUGAGAAUAUUAUUCCCAUCUUAGUCGAGGAAUAUGCUCAGUACUAGAAUCUAUUGAAAGGGUCCACUUCGGUAACUGCUAGUAUUGAGUCAAGUAAAACUUGUCUUGUCUCCUCCUCACAUAAAUGUAUCAUUGAUUUUAGUGGUACAGAUCACAUGACAAUUCUUAUAUUUUUGCUAGUUUUCGAUUACAUAAAGCACCUUCUCUUAUUACUAUAGCUGAUAGGUCAAUAUAUAAUAUUGAGAGAUCUAGGACUCUUAAGCCUACUUCUUCUUUUAUCCUAUCCUCUGUUCUAAGUUUAUCCAAUCUUACUUUUAACUUAAUCUCUGUGACUAAACUUGAUCUUUGUGACUAAACUUACUAAGGACCUAAAUUAUUGUGUCUCAUGUUUCUCUCAUUGCUGUCUUUUCUAGGAUCUUGUGAAGAAAUAGAUUAUUGGUAAAGGACAUGUGUCCGGUGGCCUCUAUAUUUUGGAUUUAUGGAUGCCUCGUACAAUUGCCUGUUCUAGUAUCGUCUCUUCGCUAGAAGUGCAUUAUCGGUUGAGACAUCCUUCUUUACUAGUUUUGAAGAAUUUAUGCCCUUAAUUUUGUGAUGUAUCUUCAAUAGAGUGUGAAUCGUGUCAUUUUGACAAACAUCAUCGAAGCUCUUAAAGUUGUAAAGUCAAUAAAUGAGCUUAGUCUACUUUUGAAUUAGUUCAUUUAGAUGUUUGGGCCCUUGUUCCAUUGGGUCUAAGACUUUUCUCAUGGAUAAUUUUUCUAAAAUGACUUGGAUCUAUUUUUCUAGAUUUCCUAAGACAAUGAAGGAGGCAGGAGGCCCUGAUCCAUUCUGGAUGGCGUGAUACAAUACUUGAGGAGAUUAAGACUCUAGAUAAUAAUCAUACUUGAGACCUUGUGGAUUUACCUCAAGGCAAGAAGGUUGUAGACUGUAAAUGGGUGUUUGCCAUCAAAGUCAAUCUAGAUGGUUUCACAGCAAGGCUUAAAGCACGUUGCCAAAGGAUAUGCACAAACCCAUGGCGUCAACUAUUUUGACACUUUCUCUCCUGUGGCCAAAAUGAUCUCAGUUUGCUUUCUUAGCUGCUUUCCAACAUUGGCCUUUACACUAGCUCGAUAUCAAAAAUGUCUUUCUGCAUGGCGACCUCUAAGAGGAGGUGUAUAUGGGGCAACUAUCAGGAUUUAUUGCUCAGUGGGAGUAUGGGGAAGUAUGCCAUUUGAAGAAAUCAUUGUAUAGUUUGAAGCAGAGUCUUCAUGAAAUAUUUGGCCGCUUUAGAACAAAUUUUAUAUUAUUUGAAAGGAAUUUCUAGACUCGGUAUACUUUACUGUGAUCAUGGACAUAUUACAGUUACAAUUGAGUGUUUUUUGAAUGUUGAUUGAGCAGGAUCCAAAAGUGAUAGAAGAUCCAUUAUAGUUUACUAUGUGUUUGUUGGCGGAAAUCUAGUGUUGGAAAAGUAAACAAAUGUGGUAUCUAAAUCCAGUGUCGAAUCAUAAUACAGAGCCCUAGUUUAAUCCACUUGUGAGAUUCUGUGAAUAAAUCAGCUGCUGAGAGAAGUUGGUCAUUUGUGAGAUUCUGUGAAUAAAUCAGUUGCUGAGAGAAGUUGGUGUGGAUGUGUGUCACCCGCAAAACUGUAUCAGGCGGCUGUUCAUAUUGCCUCCAAUCUAGUAUACCAUGAAUGGACUAAGAACAUUGAAGUUAAUUACUAUUUUUAUCUGUGAGACAAUUCAAGAAAAAUUAAUUUCCACCGGUUAUAUGAAGACAGGAGAGCAACUGAGUGAUUUACUCACCAAGGCAUUAAAUGGGCCUAGUAUAGAGUGUGUUUUAAUAAGUUGGACAUGAUAAACAUCUUUACUCAAACUUGAGGGAGAGUGUUAGUAUGAAUGUAAUCAGUAUAUAAUUAGAAGAGAUUGCAAAAUAAUAGGCUAAUUGAUAAUAAUUGAUUAAUAGAGGAUUCCUAGGAGUUGCCUUAACUAGCGAUAAUCUGUAUAUAAAUGCUCUUAUUCAAUAGUGAAGACACACAGUUCUUCUACUAAUCUAUUGUAUUACAAUUUUGAUUGACUAUAAGUAGUGGCAUGUCCUGCCGCUGGCCAUAUUAGCGGCAGGACCCACUUUUUUGUCGUGGUGCCAAUAUUUCCCUUGAUUUGGGAAACACUUUUUUCUAAACAUCUAUUUGACAAUAUUUUUCUUAAAGGCACCACUUUGAUAAAACCCCAAAAGAAGCCAGCAGAUUGGGUAAACUUAUCAUUCAUGCUCUAACUUGAGGGAGAGUGUUAGUGUCUGUAUAUAAUUAGAAAAGAUUGCAAAAUAAUAGGUUAAUUAAUAAUAAUUGAUUGAUAAAGGAUUCUUAGGAGUUGCCUUAACUAGCCUUUGUAAUCUGUAUAUAAAUACUCUUAUUCAAUAGUGAAGACACAAUUCUUCUACCAAUCUAUUCUAUUACAAUUUUGAUUGACUAUAAGUAGUGGCAUGUCCUGCUGCUGGCCAUAUUAGCGGCAGGACCCACUUUUUUGUCAUGGUGCCAAUAUUUACCUUGGUUUGGAAAACACUUUUUUCUAAACCUCUAUUUGACAAUAUUUUUCUUAAAGGCACCACUUUGGUAAAACCCCAAAAGAAGCCUGUAGAUUGGGUAAACUUAUCAUUCAUGCUAUAAAUUUUUUUAAAAAAAAACUAGCAUCAAACACAAGUUUCUUCAAUAAAUAAGCAAAAACAAAAUCAUAAUAAAAAUAGAUAACUCACCUUUGCAAUAUAUGGAUGUGUUAGAACUAGAAACUUAUGAUCUUAUCUCGCUGGUUGAUAUUCUUAUCUUAAGAGACAGGAAGAAAGAUUUGCUGAAAGAUAGAAAUUUUAGAAGGAAAGUUGAGAAGAAGCAAGAGACAGCAGCCUAGAAGUCCUCAAACCAAAAACAGAGAUGAGGUGCUGGCUGCUGCUCUCAUCUGGACCCAUAAGACAAGGCAACAGGCCUGGACUGUUAUCAUUACAUAAAGGCCGUUGCAAGUGCCAAUUUUCUUUUACCUUUAAAUAACGGGUGUCUGUUAGCAAACCACCACUUCAACAAAUUCUUCAUCGCUGAUGCAAUAGUGGAUAGCGGCAUAGAUUAUGGGUUUAUGCAUAGUAAUGAAUAGUGGCAAAGAACAUAGGUCUUAUGAUGUUACCACCAUGUUCUGUUUAAUUAUUUAGUUAUUUCCAUAUUUUAUUUAAUUAUUUCUAAAUUCUAAUUUGUAGGAGGUUAGCCUCUACUAUGCUAUUUUGAGUUCCUGUUUUUCAAGGGUAGUUAAAACUCCAAUUUGUAUUUAAGUUGACAGCAGAUUAAUAAACGUUGGCUAGAAAAAUUUUCAAGAAGUCUUUGAGUACUUUAAACUCGAGAGAUUACAGGUUCUCUCUGAUGAGCCUGACAACUUUUCAAAAUAGGUCACACAAAGAAAAAUCUAUCUUUGCUUUCUCCUAUUUUGCCAAAAGACUCAUUACACAAACCCAGAACUAGAUCCUACUCACAGGAUCCUAACAGUAUCACAGUAGUAGGAGGCAAAAAAACUUGUUAAUGAUGGUAGCCAGCGGCUAUUAUUUAAAAACCAU